CAGCAGCCGCGGUAAUACGUAGGUGGCAAGCGUUGUCCGGAAUUAUUGGGCGUAAAGCGCGCGCAGGCGGCCUAUCCAGUCUGUCUUAAAAGUUCGGGGCUCAACCCCGUGAUGGGAUGGAGACUAGUAGGCUAGAGUAUCGGAGAGGAAAGCGGAAUUCCUAGUGUAGCGGUGAAAUGCGUAGAUAUUAGGAAGAACACCAGUGGCGAAGGCGGCUUUCUGGACGAAAACUGACGCUGAGGCGCGAAAGCCAGGGGAGCGAACGGGAUUAGAUACCCCUGUAGUCCCUGUCUCUUAUACA
This 301-nucleotide ribosomal RNA is filed under the name uncultured bacterium. Its description in RNAcentral is "partial 16S ribosomal RNA". It matches the Rfam family "Bacterial small subunit ribosomal RNA", at positions 509 to 809 of the family's 1533-position model. The record is from RNAcentral.